CUGUCUGUAGCUAUUUUUAUAUCAGAGUCAAAGCAUUUGGAAACCUCUGUGGUAUUUCAACACUACACAGCAUUGCACCAUGUAGACAGUAGAGUUUAGAUACACUUCAAAGAUCUCGAAUUGCUCCAAGAAAGAAUGAAAAAGGAAAUGUUAAAAAUAAGUCAAUGCUAAUUAUUAAGACAAAGACCAUAAUGUUAAGUUAUGCACUUAGCUUUAUUUGAAAGUGUAACAAUAGAUUAAUAGACCAUUAAUAUUUACACUUCACUACAGUGCAGUAAAAAGAAAAGCACUGAGCACUUCAAUUACAUGGUUAACUCAGUGGGUACAUCUAUUCUAGUGAUUGCUCUGGCUGUAAAAAUGGGGGAUUAAUUUCUAUGCUUCUCUGUGGUCCCAGGUCCAUGGAUGCCGUAUUAGGUUU
Molecule: long non-coding RNA, 418 nt
Filed under: Anas platyrhynchos platyrhynchos (common mallard)
Lineage: Eukaryota; Metazoa; Chordata; Aves; Anseriformes; Anatidae
Description: lncRNA (ENSAPLG00000029722.1)
Source: RNAcentral